Molecule: ribosomal RNA, 425 nt
Filed under: uncultured bacterium
Lineage: Bacteria
Description: partial 16S ribosomal RNA
Rfam family: Bacterial small subunit ribosomal RNA
Source: RNAcentral
GUGGGGAAUCUUGCGCAAUGGGCGAAAGCCUGACGCAGCCAUGCCGCGUGAAUGAUGAAGGUCUUAGGAUUGUAAAAUUCUUUCACCGGGGACGAUAAUGACGGUACCCGGAGAAGAAGCUCCGGCUAACUUCGUGCCAGCAGCCGCGGUAAUACGAAGGGGGCUAGCGUUGCUCGGAAUUACUGGGCGUAAAGGGCGCGUAGGCGGACAGCUUAGUCAGAGGUGAAAGCCCAGGGCUCAACCUUGGAAUUGCCUUUGAUACUGGCUGUCUUGAGUUUGGGAGAGGUGAGUGGAACUCCGAGUGUAGAGGUGAAAUUCGUAGAUAUUCGGAAGAACACCAGUGGUGAAGGCGACUCACUGGCCCAAUACUGACGCUGAGGCGCGAAAGCGUGGGGAGCAAACAGGAUUAGAUACCCUGGUAGUCC